AUCUACCUAGUAGUAUGGGAUAGCCACUGGAAAUGGUGGGUAAUACCGUAUAAUCCCCGCGGGGGAAAGAUUUAUCGCUAUUAGAUGAGCCUAUGUCGGAUUAGCUAGUUGGUGGGGUAAUGGCCUACCAAGGCAGUGAUCUGUAGCUGGUCUGAGAGGAUGAUCAGCCACACUGGAACUGAGACACGGUCCAGACUCCUACGGGAGGCAGCAGUGGGGAAUAUUGGACAAUGGGCGCAAGCCUGAUCCAGCUAUGCCGCGUGAGUGAGGAAGGCCUUAGGGUUGUAAAACUCUUUCAGUAGGGAAGAUAAUGACGGUACCUA
This 323-nucleotide ribosomal RNA is filed under the name Anaplasma phagocytophilum. Its description in RNAcentral is "bacterial SSU rRNA". It matches the Rfam family "Bacterial small subunit ribosomal RNA", at positions 124 to 481 of the family's 1533-position model. Lineage: Bacteria; Pseudomonadati; Pseudomonadota; Alphaproteobacteria; Rickettsiales; Anaplasmataceae. The record is from RNAcentral.